CCCGGGCCUUGUACACACCGCCCGUCACGGCAUGGGAGUUGGUUUUACCCGAAGACGGUGCGCUAACCGCAAGGAGGCAGCCGCCUAAAGUGUGAUCGGUAAUUGGGGUG
This 110-nucleotide ribosomal RNA is filed under the name uncultured bacterium. RNAcentral describes it as "partial 16S ribosomal RNA". It matches the Rfam family "Bacterial small subunit ribosomal RNA", at positions 1373 to 1482 of the family's 1533-position model. The record is from RNAcentral.